AUGACGGUUGCGGCGAACGCCGGUGCUGCUCCUCAUUCUCGACCUUCAAGGAGGAGCGCUGGUACAGCAGAAGGACGCCCUGCCCCUGAACAAUGGCCAUGGCGCCAGGACGUCCUCCUCCUUGAUGCGGCUGUCCCCAACGAGCUCUCUUCGCCGGAGGAGGUGGAGCAGCAUGUCCAGCACCCCCUUGGCCUCCUAUCAUGCAGCACAUGGACGAGCUCACUGACAACUGCGUUCUGCCCUCCUAGUGUGAUAUUGGUUAUGGGAGCAUUUUUAACAAGAAAGACAUGCGUUUUGACAACUUUGGCAUGA
RNAcentral lists this ribosomal RNA (312 nucleotides) under Triticum aestivum (bread wheat). RNAcentral's name for it is "partial small subunit ribosomal RNA". Lineage: Eukaryota; Viridiplantae; Streptophyta; Magnoliopsida; Poales; Poaceae. The record is from RNAcentral.